AUUUUGUAAAUUAGAUUAUUAACAGAAAAAAAUAGUCUGCUGAUAACUUUCUUUAUCCACUCUUAUUUAUAAUUCGGAUUUAUUUUAAUAAUUUAUUGUUUUUCUUUGCCAUUACUAGUCAUAUCAUUAUUAUUUCAUUGUGUCUGUACUAAGAACUUUCGUUUUAUUAUAAAUUAUACCUUUAACAUCUUUAAUAAUUACAUUUUAUUAAAUAUUCCGGUAUACACGUUCAUUUGAAUGACAGUCGUGAACAACUAAUAAGUAUUUUCGAAAAGCUCUAUUUUUAUAGUCGUCCGUUGAAGAAGUUUAUUAAAAUAUACAGCAUGUAUAAUACUGUGAAUAUAACGUUUUCAAGUUUAUUUAAUGUGCUAUUAUUCGAUUUUAACCUUUCGAGUGUCAAGAAAUAAUAAUACUCAAACGUUAACAAUACUCUCAAAAAUGUCAAUAUAUAUUAUUGUUCAUUAUUUAAACAGUUUUGUUAUUGAAACUUUCAUUAAUGAUGACAUAAUUUAUUUAUAAUGCAAUGUCUAUUGAUAUAUUGAGUAAAUUCAAUUAUAAGUAUGAUUUAUUAGUGUCAUAACAUUUAUAUUACUACAAUUUACACCAAUAAUAAUUGUGAUUACAGUUGCAAUAAAAAUUUAAUAUUACUUUGUGCCACGGAAACCUCAAAUAUAAUUAAAUUUCCUAAUUUCAAGACUACUGCAAAAUAUUAAGAAGGCGUCAAAAAUUUAGAAUAUCAAGAAAAAUAAGAGAUGAGUUGAAAAUCGAAUAUGAAGUUGAGAAAUAUAUUGGCUAUAUUGGCCGCAUUUUUCAUUCAUUUGAUUCGUCUUUCGGUAGCUGCAGUGGCCACAGGAUCUAAACCAUUUCCAGGAUUAGAAAAUUUACCAAGAUCUUUCUGGCAUGAGCUUAGUUCACCGUUUACUGAGACAUAUGGAAUAGAAGAACCUACAACAGAGAAUGGUGCAACACCUGAGCCCAGACCGUUUUUUCAAGAUCCUGAUGCUAAUAUUACCGUUCAACUUGGUGCGUCAGUGCACUUUCAUUGCAGAGUUGAAAAUUUGCAAAAAAGAACUGUUUCAUGGGUUCGUAGACGCGGUGACGAGCUUCAUUUGCUAACCUUUGGUAUUCACACAUACUCGAGUGAUUCCAGGUUCUCACUGGAUUAUCAAAUGCCAAACGAUUGGCGGUUAUUACUACGAUCAGCGACUGAACGAGACGCAGGCGUUUACGAGUGUCAAGUUAGUGUUCAUCCACCCUUGACAAAAACAAUUUAUUUGACAGUUUCCGUACCACGUGUUGAAAUAGUUGACGAGCACGGUGCAACUGCUGGUGACAAAUUUUACAAAGCAGGCAGUACGAUUGAGUUAAAAUGUGUUGUGAGCAAAGUUCCUCAUCCUACUGGUUAUGUAAUAUGGAGGCAUGGAACUCGAAUGCUCAAUUAUGAUACUAUUCGCGGUGGAAUUAGACGACGUCCGUGUAAAACGAUGGACGUCGUUGCAGGUGGAACUUGGUACGUAAUAAUGACGGGUUUCACGACACACCAGCAUUUCAGUUCACAGUGUGUGAUCUAAUUGGUUAUAUCCCACGGAAUUGAUGAAUUUUAAACAACUACCCGAGUUCCACUAUGGAUUUGAAUCAAUUUUGUUAGUCGGGUUUUCAAUCAGCGGCAUCAGACAUAUUGGUGGAAUAUAACUGAAAUGUAACGAUAUAAAGUCGCUGAAUUAGUAACCAGCAGGUGCCUGGCCACAUACGUUAAAUUUAUCACCAUAUAUAUGCAGUCCCGGUUUGCAGGUUCCAGAACUAACGAAAAUUAAGUCAGUUCACGUAGAUUGUGAGAUACGCUAUUGCCAGCAUGUCUGGUUUAAUUAUUGGUCCAACGCCUAUUGGACGUGAUAGACGUUUAUUCGUUCUUUCGUUCAUUCAUUAGGUUUUUUUUUUUGUUCAUAUAAAUAUAUCCGUACAAACGUGCAUGUAUAAGUGUUCCCUAGGAGAUAUAAGUUUAA
Microplitis demolitor is the source of this 2003-nucleotide RNA transcript. It is a transcript of the gene named peroxidasin, with no coding region annotated. The transcript is spliced from 8 exons. NCBI's taxonomy places the organism in Eukaryota, Metazoa, Arthropoda, Insecta, Hymenoptera, Braconidae. The record is from RefSeq and is a predicted model, not a curated record.